This 439-nucleotide ribosomal RNA is filed under the name uncultured bacterium. RNAcentral's name for it is "partial 16S ribosomal RNA". It matches the Rfam family "Bacterial small subunit ribosomal RNA", at positions 338 to 795 of the family's 1533-position model. The record is from RNAcentral.
CCUACGAGAGGCAGCAGUGGGGAAUAUUGCACAAUGGGCGAAAGCCUGAUGCAGCAACGCCGCGUGAGCGAUGAAGGCCUUCGGGUCGUAAAGCUCUGUUCUCAAGGAAGAAAAUGACGGGACGUGAGGAGGAAGCCCCGGCUAACUACGUGCCAGCAGCCGCGGUAAUAAGUAGGGGGCUAGCGUUAUACGGAAUUACUGGGCGUAAAGGGUGCGUAGGUGGUUUCUUAAGUCAGAGGUGAAAGGCUACGGCUCAACCGUAGUAAGCCUUUGAAACUGGUGAACUUGAGUUGAGGAGAGGAGAGUGGAAUUCCUAGUGUAGCGGUGAAAUGCGUAGAUAUUAGGCGGAACACCAGUUGCGAAGGCGGCUCUCUGGCCUGUAACUGACGCUGAGGCACGAAAGCGUGGGGAGCAAACAGGAUUAGAUACCCCGGUAGUC